This 1827-nucleotide ribosomal RNA is filed under the name Escherichia coli. RNAcentral's name for it is "partial 23S ribosomal RNA". It matches the Rfam family "Bacterial large subunit ribosomal RNA", at positions 352 to 2167 of the family's 2925-position model. Lineage: Bacteria; Pseudomonadati; Pseudomonadota; Gammaproteobacteria; Enterobacterales; Enterobacteriaceae. The record is from RNAcentral.
GCGCGAUACAGGGUGACAGCCCCGUACACAAAAAUGCACACAUUGUGAGCUCGAUGAGUAGGGCGGGACACGUGGUAUCCUGUCUGAAUAUGGGGGGACCAUCCUCCAAGGCUAAAUACUCCUGACUGACCGAUAGUGAACCAGUACCGUGAGGGAAAGGCGAAAAGAACCCCGGCGAGGGGAGUGAAAAAGAACCUGAAACCGUGUACGUACAAGCAGUGGGAGCCUCUUAAUGGGGUGACUGCGUACCUUUUGUAUAAUGGGUCAGCGACUUAUAUUCUGUAGCAAGGUUAACCGAAUAGGGGAGCCGAAGGGAAACCGAGUCUUAACUGGGCGUUAAGUUGCAGGGUAUAGACCCGAAACCCGGUGAUCUAGCCAUGGGCAGGUUGAAGGUUGGGUAACACUAACUGGAGGACCGAACCGACUAAUGUUGAAAAAUUAGCGGAUGACUUGUGGCUGGGGGUGAAAGGCCAAUCAAACCGGGAGAUAGCUGGUUCUCCCCGAAAGCUAUUUAGGUAGCGCCUCGUGAAUUCAUCUCCGGGGGUAGAGCACUGUUUCGGCAAGGGGGUCAUCCCGACUUACCAACCCGAUGCAAACUGCGAAUACCGGAGAAUGUUAUCACGGGAGACACACGGCGGGUGCUAACGUCCGUCGUGAAGAGGGAAACAACCCAGACCGCCAGCUAAGGUCCCAAAGUCAUGGUUAAGUGGGAAACGAUGUGGGAAGGCCCAGACAGCCAGGAUGUUGGCUUAGAAGCAGCCAUCAUUUAAAGAAAGCGUAAUAGCUCACUGGUCGAGUCGGCCUGCGCGGAAGAUGUAACGGGGCUAAACCAUGCACCGAAGCUGCGGCAGCGACACUAUGUGUUGUUGGGUAGGGGAGCGUUCUGUAAGCCUGUGAAGGUGGCCUGUGAGGGUUGCUGGAGGUAUCAGAAGUGCGAAUGCUGACAUAAGUAACGAUAAAGCGGGUGAAAAGCCCGCUCGCCGGAAGACCAAGGGUUCCUGUCCAACGUUAAUCGGGGCAGGGUGAGUCGACCCCUAAGGCGAGGCCGAAAGGCGUAGUCGAUGGGAAACAGGUUAAUAUUCCUGUACUUGGUGUUACUGCGAAGGGGGGACGGAGAAGGCUAUGUUGGCCGGGCGACGGUUGUCCCGGUUUAAGCGUGUAGGCUGGUUUUCCAGGCAAAUCCGGAAAACCAAGGCUGAGGCGUGAUGACGAGGCACUACGGUGCUGAAGCGACAAAUGCCCUGCUUCCAGGAAAAGCCUCUAAGCAUCAGGUAACAUCAAAUCGUACCCCAAACCGACACAGGUGGUCAGGUAGAGAAUACCAAGGCGCUUGAGAGAACUCGGGUGAAGGAACUAGGCAAAAUGGUGCCGUAACUUCGGGAGAAGGCACGCUGAUAUGUAGGUGAAGCGACUUGCUCGUGGAGCUGAAAUCAGUCGAAGAUACCAGCUGGCUGCAACUGUUUAUUAAAAACACAGCACUGUGCAAACACGAAAGUGGACGUAUACGGUGUGACGCCUGCCCGGUGCCGGAAGGUUAAUUGAUGGGGUUAGCGGCAACGCGAAGCUCUUGAUCGAAGCCCCGGUAAACGGCGGCCGUAACUAUAACGGUCCUAAGGUAGCGAAAUUCCUUGUCGGGUAAGUUCCGACCUGCACGAAUGGCGUAAUGAUGGCCAGGCUGUCUCCACCCGAGACUCAGUGAAAUUGAACUCGCUGUGAAGAUGCAGUGUACCCGCGGCAAGACGGAAAGACCCCGUGAACCUUUACUAUAGCUUGACACUGAACAUUGAGCCUUGAUGUGUAGGAUAGGUGGGAGGCUUUGAAGUGUGG